RNAcentral lists this ribosomal RNA (398 nucleotides) under uncultured bacterium. RNAcentral describes it as "bacterial SSU rRNA". It matches the Rfam family "Bacterial small subunit ribosomal RNA", at positions 357 to 774 of the family's 1533-position model. The record is from RNAcentral.
GGGAAUUUUGCGCAAUGGGGAAACCCUGACGCAGCAACGCCGCGUGGAGGAUGAAGUCUCUUGGGACGUAAACUCCUUUCGACCGGGACGAUAAUGACGGUACCGGAAGAAGAAGCCCCGGCUAACUUCGUGCCAGCAGCCGCGGUAAUACGAGGGGGCAAGCGUUGUUCGGAAUUAUUGGGCGUAAAGGGUGCGUAGGCGGCCCCGCAAGUCUUGUGUGAAAUCUUCGAGCUCAACUCGAAGCCUGCAUAGGAAACUGCUGGGCUGGAGUAUGGGAGAGGUGAGUGGAAUUCCUGGUGUAGCGGUGAAAUGCGUAGAUAUCAGGAGGAACACCUGUGGCGAAAGCGGCUCACUGGACCAUAACUGACGCUGAUGCACGAAAGCUAGGGGAGCAAACA